This 495-nucleotide ribosomal RNA is filed under the name uncultured bacterium. Its description in RNAcentral is "partial 16S ribosomal RNA". It matches the Rfam family "Bacterial small subunit ribosomal RNA", at positions 28 to 507 of the family's 1533-position model. The record is from RNAcentral.
GACGAACGCUGGCGGCGUGCCUAAUACAUGCAAGUAGAACGCUGAAGGAGGAGCUUGCUUCUCUGGAUGAGUUGCGAACGGGUGAGUAACGCGUAGGUAACCUGCCUGGUAGCGGGGGAUAACUAUUGGAAACGAUAGCUAAUACCGCAUAAGAGUAGAUGUUGCAUGACAUUUGCUUAAAAGGUGCAAUUGCAUCACUACUAGAUGGACCUGCGUUGUAUUAGCUAGUUGGUGGGGUAACGGCUCACCAAGGCGACGAUACAUAGCCGACCUGAGAGGGUGAUCGGCCACACUGGGACUGGGGCACGGCCCAGAAUCCUACGGGAGGCAGCAGUAGGGAAUCUUCGGCAAUGGACGGAAGUCUGACCGAGCAACGCCGCGUGAGUGAAGAAGGUUUUCGGAUCGUAAAACUCUGUUGUGAGAGAAGAACGAGUGUGAGAGUGGAAAGUUCACACUGUGACGGUAUCUUACCAGAAAGGGACGGCUAACUACGUG